CAGCCUGCUGCUCGUUUGGAUAAAGUUAAUUACAGCGAAGAUUAAAAUCUGCAGUGCUUGAUUGGUGUUGUUGAGACUCAGAGAAUCACACUGUCCUCGGAGAGCGACUUGCCAGCUCUGCACCCCUCCUCUUAGGUGUUCACGGCCUGUUUCCUCACCCAAGAGGGAAGCUGGGCUGUCAGUAAGUCUCCUGCAGUGGGCUCCCUGCAUUUUCUUUGCUCUGGUCAUGGGUGUAGUACACAUGGCAGGGAGAAGCAUUUUAUCCGAAGGUUUCUUUUACUCACUCGAGGAACCACUGAAGAACAUGGAGUGCAAACUCAUAUUACUUCACAUCUCCAAAUCCUGUCACCUUUAAAUCAGUGCUUGUUAAUAAUACAGUGGCUGGUCUCCAGUUCUUCCCCUUGCAGUGAGACUUUUUUGUUUGCAAGAGAAAAGCAUAAUGGAUCAGACGUUUGAGAUCCAUUGCCUUUGGAGUACUGGAUUUCAAGACUUUAAUGUUGUAUAAACCGAAAGGCUUAUGCUGAGUAUGUAUACUGGACUUGUGGACAACAUGAUGUCUAUUAAAAAUGAAGGGCAAAUAACAAUGUCAACCUCGAAGCACAAAGUAGAUAAGCCUUUUCGACAUGGCUAUGAUAGGACAGUGUGCACUAGACUGAUGAAAUGUGACAUUGCCACUCAGUCAAGUGAAGCAACAAUAUCAUGCCAAUACUAACAGGGAGCAGAUUCAUAGAUCACAAAUCAAUAUCAAUUUGGAUGUCACCAAGUCUGACAUCCUACUGGAGAUGAAGAACUUCGCUGAGCAGAUCCUUCCUGAACAGAAGAAAAAGGUCCUUUCACCUGCUAACACACUUCCCUGCUGUCAAGAGGGAAGCUGAGAUGGUGCUACUAAAUCCCAGCAACUCCAAUGAUUACACAGACAUGAAAUGAAACUAUUCCAUGAUUUCCACUCCUGUGUGCAAGACAGACAUACCGGUGCCUGUCCAAUCUUCACCAGUCACUGAGUCCUAUGCUUUUGCCAGUGCUUGUACACCUCUGCUGAGACUUCCCACCAGUAACAUUCCACAACAAAAAGUGGCACCUGGAAACUGGCAAAUUACUCCCCUGUCCGUCCAUGACAGCAGAAGCUACCCACAGAAAUGGAGGGACUGGGUAAUCAAGAGACUGGUACUGUGUGAAUGAGCUAAUCAGCUUCCUGCUCUCCAGAGAACACGUUGUUCAGUGAUCACCCACAGCCAGAGAAACCAACCAAGUCUGAUGCAUCAAACUGCUUCAAAUUAAAGACUCAAGUAGAUUGUUCCAUCAUCUGUUCAAAUAUAUGGCUUGCUGAAACAUACUCUUCCAACCAAACCUAGCUGUCAGUCAAGUGGUAAAGUAUAUAGUAGGACUUUUUGACCACACUAACCACUGAAGCUCAGAUGCCUUCCUCCAUGGCACCCUGUAUGCUCACUGGGGCCUGGGAUUCUCCCAAGACAUAACUGCUGCAUAACAGCUGCCGCUACCAUUAGCUACAUUUGUUAUUAAGAAGUACCUUUUUUCUUUCUUUUUUCUUUUUUUUUUUUUCUAUUUUUCUUUUUCAUUUGUGUGUGUUUCUGGGAUGGAAUGACAAUCUUCUACAAAUGCAGAAGAGACACCUUCUACCCUCACUCCCAUUUGGGACAGAUGUUUGCUGUAGUGAAUAUACAUGACACCUUUAUGAAACAUUUAUGUCAAGGAUUCCAUAUCAUGCUAAGCUUCUUGUACUAUUUAACCCAUCUGUCAUUAAAAGUAUCUUUGAAACAUAGUUUGAUAGAAGUCUAAAAAAUACAAUGCCUGGAUUUUUAGAAAUCAAAAUUUACCAUGUAAUAGUCCACAGUAUCAAGUGCACUUUUGUAAUCUGAAAAUUAAAUACAUAUCUUUUUCAGCCUUUUCAAUAGAAUAUUAUUUUGACAUGUUUUUCUACCACCUUACCUUGUUGGAAAUACGCAGAAGUCAUGUACUUAUGUACAUAAUAAACAGAAUAAAAAUAAACA
Anas platyrhynchos (mallard) is the source of this 2009-nucleotide non-coding RNA. NCBI's taxonomy places the organism in Eukaryota, Metazoa, Chordata, Aves, Anseriformes, Anatidae. The record is from RefSeq and is a predicted model, not a curated record.